UACGGAAGGUCCGGGCGUUAUCCGGAUUUAUUGGGUUUAAAGGGAGCGUAGGCCGCUUUGUAAGCGUGUUGUGAAAUUUGCCGGCUCAACCGGUAACUUGCAGCGCGAACUGCAGAGCUUGAGUGUGCGCAACGUUGGCGGAAUUCGUCGUGUAGCGGUGAAAUGCUUAGAUAUGACGAAGAACUCCGAUUGCGAAGGCAGCUGACGGGAGCACUACUGACGCUGAAGCUCGAAAGUGCGGGUAUCGAACAGGAUUAGAUACCCUGGUAGUCCGCACGGUAAACGAUGGAUGCCCGCUGUUUGAACAUAGUUGCAAGCGGCCAAGCGAAAGCGUUAAGCAUCCCACCUGGGGAGUACGCCGGCAACGGUGAA
RNAcentral lists this ribosomal RNA (372 nucleotides) under uncultured bacterium. Its description in RNAcentral is "bacterial SSU rRNA". It matches the Rfam family "Bacterial small subunit ribosomal RNA", at positions 524 to 898 of the family's 1533-position model. The record is from RNAcentral.